Non-coding RNA from Nicotiana tabacum (common tobacco), 1203 nucleotides. The record is from RefSeq and is a predicted model, not a curated record. NCBI's taxonomy places the organism in Eukaryota, Viridiplantae, Streptophyta, Magnoliopsida, Solanales, Solanaceae.
AAAUUAUUGUUCUAGACUCCAUGCAUAUAGUUUCAAUGUAUGAGUUUUUUAGGUAUACAUGAUAUUUUCAUUUUACCACCUAUAAAAAUCAGUCUUCCCUUAUGCUGACUAUGAGCGUCUUGGAGAAAAACCUUUUUAUACUAGCAUACCGAAGGGUGUGGCCUAGCGGUCAAUGAAGUUAGAAUGGAUUAUGUGAUUAGGGGUUUUAACUACCUAAGGUCUCAGGUUCAAAUCCUUGCUGAGACAAAAACACUAGGUGUUUUCUUUCCAUUUGUCUAAGCUUUGGUAGAUAGAGUUACCUGGUACAUGUUGCUGGUAGGAGGUAGCAGGUAUCCCUUGGAACUAAUUGAGGUGCGCGCAAACUGGCUCGUACUUUACGGUUAUAAAAAAUAUCAGGGUUUUACCUUUAACAAUCAAAAAAAAUUAUGAGAUCAGGGUUCAAAUCCCAUGGAGGCAAGAAGGUGUAAGGUGAUUUCUUUUCGUCUAAGUUCUGAUAGACAGUUAUUCAAUGUCGGUAUUGAUGGAAGGUAGCAGGUACCCAUAGAUUAGUCGAGGCUCGCAAAAGAUGGUCCUGACCCCAUUGUUAUCACAAAAAAAAGGGAAAAGAAGAGACUUGGCUACUUGAGUUGUUUGCGGAUGGAGCCAAUGGGAGUUUGUGAACAAUGUUUGGUACAUAAAGAUACUUUCUCCACUCGAAGUGCAACAGAUGGGGAAAGACGGCCUUGAUCUUCCAAAUGCUGGCCUAGUACAAAGGCUUCCUAGCAAUGGCGUCGGAUGUGAUGACUAUAUGAACCAAAAGGGCUCCCAAAAUGCCAUGAAUGGGAUACCCUUGGGGUCGCUCGACUACUAAUGAUCAAUAGUGACCCCUGCCUAAGGUAAUUGUUCCAUAUGGUGGUUGUUGCCCUUGGUUAAUGUCUGCAAAUUUCUUGUACCCUUUGUUGUGUCAAAAUGUCAUGUAUCUUUCUACCUAAAGACAAGGGCUAAGUGUCAUUUGAAGCUUGUAUCCCAGAUAAGUACACUGUAAAUUAUAAAUAUUAUUAUUAUUGAUAAGCCUGUGGAACUACCUUCUAGAGACCAACUGCAGAAAUAUCUAGUUAGCAGUAGCCACAGUUGACUUUGCUAGAUCCAUAUAUUGUACUUUUUUUAUAUUGUUUUUCGGAUAAAAUGCCGUUUUACACCUCUAUUUGGGAGGUUUGAGAUCAA